CAGCCGCCGCGGGAAUACAGAGGGUGCGAGCGUUACUCGGAAUUACUGGGCGUAAAGCGUGCGUAGGUGGUGGUUUAAGUCCGUUGUGAAAGCCCUGGGCUCAACCUGGGAAUUGCAGUGGAUACUGGGUCACUAGAGUGUGGUAGAGGAUAGUGGAAUUUCCGGUGUAGCAGUGAAAUGCGUAGAGAUCGGAAGGAACAUCUGUGGCGAAGGCGACUAUCUGGGCCAACACUGACACUGAGGCACGAAAGCGUGGGGAGCAAACAGGAUUAGAUACCCCCGUAGUCCCUGUCUCUUAUAC
This 301-nucleotide ribosomal RNA is filed under the name uncultured bacterium. RNAcentral's name for it is "partial 16S ribosomal RNA". It matches the Rfam family "Bacterial small subunit ribosomal RNA", at positions 509 to 807 of the family's 1533-position model. The record is from RNAcentral.